Molecule: ribosomal RNA, 384 nt
Filed under: Sellaphora saugerresii
Lineage: Eukaryota; Bacillariophyta; Bacillariophyceae; Sellaphorales; Sellaphoraceae
Description: SSU rRNA
Rfam family: Eukaryotic small subunit ribosomal RNA
Source: RNAcentral
AUUCCAGCUCCAAUAGCGUAUAUUAACGUUGUUGCAGUUAAAAAGCUCGUAGUUGGAUUUGUGGUGUCGCGUGCGGCUCGGGAUAUUUUUCCGGUGCUGCGUGGCGGUGCCAUCCUUGGGUGGAAUUUGUGUGGCAUUAAGUUGUCGCGCAGGGGAUGCCCAUCGUUUACUGUGAAAAAAUUAGAGUGUUCAAAGCAGGCUUAUGCCGUUGAAUAUAUUAGCAUGGAAUAAUGAGAUAGGACCUUGGUACUAUUUUGUUGGUUUGCGCACCGAGGUAAUGAUUAAUAGGGACAGUUGGGGGUAUUCGUAUUCCAUUGUCAGAGGUGAAAUUCUUGGAUUUUUGGAAGACGAACUACUGCGAAAGCAUUUACCAAGGAUGUUUUC